Molecule: ribosomal RNA, 266 nt
Filed under: uncultured bacterium
Lineage: Bacteria
Description: partial 16S ribosomal RNA
Rfam family: Bacterial small subunit ribosomal RNA
Source: RNAcentral
GUCCACGCUGUAAACUAUGUGUGCUAGCUGUUGGUGCUUACGGCAUCGGCGGCGCAGGGAAACCAUUAAGCACACCGCCUGGGGAGUACGGUCGCAAGAUUAAAACUCAAAGGAAUUGACGGGGACCCCGCACAAGCGGUGGAGUAUGUUGUUUAAUUCGACGCAACGCGAAGAACCUUACCUACGCUUGACAUACCAAGUAUGAUUUCCAGAGAUGGAUUUCUUCAGUUCGGCUGGCUUGGAUACAGGUGCUGCAUGGCUGUCGU